This 481-nucleotide ribosomal RNA is filed under the name uncultured Flavobacteriia bacterium. RNAcentral's name for it is "bacterial SSU rRNA". It matches the Rfam family "Bacterial small subunit ribosomal RNA", at positions 396 to 872 of the family's 1533-position model. The record is from RNAcentral. Lineage: Bacteria; Pseudomonadati; Bacteroidota; Flavobacteriia.
GCCGCGUGCAGGAUGACGGCCCUACGGGUUGUAAACUGCUUUUAUACAGGAAGAAACACCCCGACGUGUCGGGGCUUGACGGUACUGUAAGAAUAAGGAUCGGCUAACUCCGUGCCAGCAGCCGCGGUAAUACGGAGGAUUCGAGCGUUAUCCGGAAUCAUUGGGUUUAAAGGGUCCGCAGGCGGUUUUUUAAGUCAGAGGUGAAAUCCUGCAGCUCAACUGUAGAAUUGCCUUUGAUACUGAAAGACUUGAGUUAUUGUGAAGUGGUUAGAAUGUGUGGUGUAGCGGUGAAAUGCAUAGAUAUCACACAGAAUACCGAUUGCGAAGGCAGAUCACUAACAAUAUACUGACGCUCAGGGACGAAAGCGUGGGUAGCGAACAGGAUUAGAUACCCUGGUAGUCCACGCCGUAAACGAUGGAUACUAGCUGUAUGUCUACUUCAGGUAGAUGUGUGGCCAAGCGAAAGUGAUAAGUAUCCCAC